CCACCCCGCCAGCCAUGGCGCCGCCCCCCACAUCCGCUGCAGGCCAGCAGCAGCGCCGAGGGUGGAGCCCGAGCCUAAUAUAACUGCACAUAUGCAUCUACUACUGAGGAUUUCCUGCCCAGGGUUCAGGCAUUGUCACCC
Long non-coding RNA from Triticum dicoccoides, 141 nucleotides. RefSeq lists it as uncharacterized. The record is from RefSeq and is a predicted model, not a curated record. Lineage: Eukaryota; Viridiplantae; Streptophyta; Magnoliopsida; Poales; Poaceae. The transcript has 3 exons.